This 262-nucleotide ribosomal RNA is filed under the name uncultured Glomus. RNAcentral's name for it is "partial 18S ribosomal RNA". It matches the Rfam family "Eukaryotic small subunit ribosomal RNA", at positions 624 to 885 of the family's 1831-position model. The record is from RNAcentral. Lineage: Eukaryota; Fungi; Glomeromycota; Glomeromycetes; Glomerales; Glomeraceae.
AAGCUCGUAGUUGAAUUUCGGGAUUGACACAUCGGUCGUGCCUUAAGGGGUAUGAACUGGUGUAGUCAGCUUCUCACCUUCUGGAGAACCGCGAUGUCCUUAAUUGGGUGCCGCGAGGAACCAGGACCUUUACUUUGAAAAAAUUAGAGUGUUUAAAGCAGGCAUUUUGCUUGAAUACAUUAGCAUGGAAUAAUAAAAUAGGACGGAUGGUUCUAUUUUGUUGGUUUCUAGGAUCACCGUAAUGAUUAAUAGGGAUAGUUGG